GACGAACGCUGGCGGCGUGCUUAACACAUGCAAGUCGAACGAGAAUCUGUGGAACGAGGAUUCGUCCAAGGGAAGCAGAGGACAGUGGCGGACGGGUGAGUAACGCGUGAGGAACCUGCCUUUCAGAGGGGGACAACAGUUGGAAACGACUGCUAAUACCGCAUAACACAUAGGGGUCGCAUGGCCUUUAUGUCAAAGAUUUAUCGCUGAAAGAUGGCCUCGCGUCUGAUUAGCUAGUUGGUGAGGUAACGGCCCACCAAGGCGACGAUCAGUAGCCGGACUGAGAGGUUGAACGGCCACAUUGGGACUGAGAUACGGCCCAGACUCCUACGGGAGGCAGCAGUGGGGAAUAUUGGGCAAUGGGCGCAAGCCUGACCCAGCAACGCCGCGUGAAGGAAGAAGGCUUUCGGGUUGUAAACUUCUUU
Molecule: ribosomal RNA, 425 nt
Filed under: uncultured bacterium
Lineage: Bacteria
Description: bacterial SSU rRNA
Rfam family: Bacterial small subunit ribosomal RNA
Source: RNAcentral